Molecule: unclassified non-coding RNA, 308 nt
Filed under: Hevea brasiliensis (rubber tree)
Lineage: Eukaryota; Viridiplantae; Streptophyta; Magnoliopsida; Malpighiales; Euphorbiaceae
Source: RNAcentral
GGGCCUUGGUAUCUUUCACUCUGGUGUUGAAGUACAUGGUGUAGAAUAUGCAUUUGGAGCUCAUGACUAUUCAAGCAGUGGUGUCUUUGAAGUUGAACCACGACAAUGCCCGGGGUUCAAGUUUAGGAAGUCCAUAUUCAUUGGGGUUACAAAGUUGGAUCCCUGUCAGGUUAGAGAGUUUAUCGAACGUCAAGCUGCUAGCUAUAAUGGUGACACAUAUCAUUUGAUUUCGAAGAACUGCAACCAUUUUUGCAACGAUACAUGCUACAAGCUCACCGGGAAAAAGAUUCCAAAGUGGGUAAACCGAC